Molecule: transfer RNA, 72 nt
Filed under: Mus musculus (house mouse)
Lineage: Eukaryota; Metazoa; Chordata; Mammalia; Rodentia; Muridae
Description: tRNA-Gly
Source: RNAcentral
GGGGAUGUAGCUCAGUUGGUAGAGUGCUUGCCUACCAUGUGCAAAGCCCUGAGUUCGAUCCCCAGCACUAUA